This 892-nucleotide ribosomal RNA is filed under the name Lulworthia norwegica. Its description in RNAcentral is "partial large subunit ribosomal RNA". It matches the Rfam family "Eukaryotic large subunit ribosomal RNA", at positions 40 to 961 of the family's 3401-position model. Lineage: Eukaryota; Fungi; Ascomycota; Sordariomycetes; Lulworthiales; Lulworthiaceae. The record is from RNAcentral.
AUAUCAAUAAGCGGAGGAAAAGAAACCAACAGGGAUUGCCCCAGUAACGGCGAGUGAAGCGGCAACAGCUCAAAUUUGAAAUCCGGCCUCGGCCCGAGUUGUAAUUUGCAGAGGAUGCUUCGGGCGACGUUCCUUCCGAGUCCCCUGGAACGGGGCGCCACAGAGGGUGAGAGCCCCGUACUGUCGGAACCUAGCCCGUGUGAAGCUCCUUCGACGAGUCGAGUAGUUUGGGAAUGCUGCUCUAAGCGGGAGGUAAAUUCCUUCCAAGGCUAAAUACCGGCCAGAGACCGAUAGCGCACAAGUAGAGUGAUCGAAAGAUGAAAAGCACUUUGGAAAGAGGGUUAAACAGUACGUGAAAUUGCUGAAAGGGAAGCGCCUGCGACCAGACUCGGGCGCGGCGGAUCAUCGGGCGUUCUCGCCCGUGCACUCCGCCGCGCCUGGGCCAGCACCGGUCCGGCCGGGGGGACAAAAGCCCGGGAAACGUGGCUCCCCCUAGGGGGAGUGUUAUAGUCCCCCGCCGAAUGCCCCCGGGCGGACCGAGGACCGCGCUAACGCAAGGAUGCUGGCGUAAUGGUCGUCGGCGACCCGUCUUGAAACACGGACCAAGGAGUCGAACAUCCGUGCGAGUGUUUGGGUGCCAAACCCUCACGCGCAAUGAAAGUGAACGGAGGUGGGAGCCACGGCGCACCAUCGACCGAUCCUGAGGCACUGCCGACGGAUUUGAGUAGGAGCACGGCUGUUCGGACCCGAAAGAUGGUGAACUAUGCCUGUAUAGGGUGAAGCCAGAGGAAACUCUGGUGGAGGCUCGCAGCGGUUCUGACGUGCAAAUCGAUCGUCGAAUAUGGGCAUGGGGGCGAAAGACUAAUCGAACCAUCUAGUAGCUGGUUUCUGC